RNAcentral lists this long non-coding RNA (3466 nucleotides) under Theobroma cacao (cacao). Its description in RNAcentral is "long non-coding RNA (TCAC_LNC003913)". Lineage: Eukaryota; Viridiplantae; Streptophyta; Magnoliopsida; Malvales; Malvaceae. The record is from RNAcentral.
CCAGAAACUGUCUUCAACAGAAAAAUCUGACUCCCCAAGUAUACAAGGAAGCUUCAACUAUCAAAGAAAGGAGAUUGGAUGAGAGAAAGGCCAUUUUGAGCAAAAAGCCAAACAUUCUUCACAAAAAACACUUGUUCUUCAUUCUAAAAUCAAAAAAAGUGUUUGAGCUUAGUUGUAAUAUUUCUAGAUUUUUAAAGUGUCGUAGUUGUACUUCUUUUUCUUCUCUUUCUCAGUAAAUUAGAGUGUGGGAAGUACUUUAAAGAUUGUUGUAAGGGAUUAGAGGUUGGGUUAGAAGCUCACCUUGUAAAAGCUUGGUGGAAGCUGUUAAUUCCACUAGUAUAGUGAAGUUGGGAUUGAAAAUCCUUGAUUAGGAUAUCAGGGUAAUAGAUGUAGGUCAAAGGGAUCGAACCACUGUAAAUAGCUUUGCAUUGUCCACUUCUCUCCACCCUUCCUUACUUUGUGUCUUUUAACUACCACAAGCUUCAUAUCUAUUUUUCUCUAAUUUGUUAAAAGCUCUAUCAUUUUAAAAUGGCUGAUUCUAAAAAUUUUUAAUGCUAUUCACCCCUUCUAUCACUCUAACAGGACCAAAAAAUGGUAUCAAAGCAAUACCCUCAAUUUUAAGGCAUAACAUUCUUAGGGAAAAUCCACAUGGCUUUGCAAAAGUUAGUUGUUGCUGAAGGUCAAUCCAUAAAUAGGCCUUCUCUAUUUGACGGAUUAAAUUAUGCUUAUUGGAACACUAAGAUGUCCAUAUAUAUUAGAGCCUUGACUAUGAAAUGUGGGAUGUUGUUAUGGAAAGACCUUAUAUUCCCACCUUAUCUAGUUUUGUCACUAGUGAGAAAAUGCCAAAGCUUAGAGCUGAGUGGGCUGAGGCUGAAGUCAGAAAGGUCUAAAAGAAUUUUAAAGCCAUUAACACCCUUCAUUAUGUACUUACUUCCUUAGAAUUCAACAAAAUCUCUGAUUGUACUACAACAAAAAAGAUUUGGGAAAAACUCAAAGUCAUUCAUGAAGGGACUUCACAAGUAAAGAAGUCUAAAAUUACCUUACUCACCCAUAAUUAUGAAAUGUUUAAAAUGGAACUAGGUGAAGAUGUCAUUACCAUGUUCGAUAGGCUUACCAAUAUUACAAACAAGCUCAAUCAACUUGGAAAAACUAUUCCUGUCACGACCCGAUACUCUCCUCGAGCUCGUGACAACCGCCAUUGUGUCCCGAUGGACACUCAUUACCCGGAAUGCCAACCGGAACCCCGCAAGGCUUUAAUAUCAGUUUCUCAUUUCCCCUGUGAGUAAUUGUUGCUAAAUAUAAUGUUUUAAAAGAUUUUAAGCUAUUUCUAAAUUUAAACAAUAAAAAAAUGAUUUCUGUCUCACAGGGGCAUUUUGGUCAUUUUUCCUUAAAAAUUUUGAAAUAUGGUAAAAAUGUAAUAUGCAAUUACAAAACAUAUAAUUCAGAAUAAAAAAUAAGUUUAAAUAUCUAAAACCUUAAUUUAAAAUGAAAUUAUGAUUAUUUGGAUAUAAUAAAAUAAAAUAAAAGAAAUAUUUAAUAAAAUAUUAUAUUUUCUUAUAAAAUAAUAUUUUUAGAGUUAUACGUAAAUAAUUUUUGCAGCGUAAAAAUAAAAUAAAUUCAUACAUACUGUAAUACAGUAAGCCAGAGUAUUUAAUUUAAUUUACAAUAACUAGUAGGCCCCCAAAUAACCAAAAGUAAGAGAGACUGUGAACCUACAGUUUGAAGGAUGCAAAUCCAAUGGUAGCCUCGGUGAAAUCAGCUAUCUACAACCUAUUCUGAGCCUGAAAUGGGUGGAAAGGAGGGUGGUGAGAUUAUAUAAUCCCAGUGAGUAAACAAAAAUCAUCCAAAAUAUCUAAAGUCGAGUAAAUGGAGACGAUUAAAAUAUUCCAUCUCAAUAUGUAUUUCAUAACAUAAAUAUUCAUUUUAUUUAAAUAAUCAACAUGGCUUAUGAGUAUCUUAAAAGCUUGGCUUCUACCAAAAUCAUUCUCGGGAAUACCUUGGCCGAGGCAUUUAAUCGAGUCUGCCAAGGUUGUUAAAAAUUUCGUAUACACAUAAACAUAUUUUUAAUUUGAAAAACACAGCCGAUCCUUGGCGUUAGCGGAGUUCAUCAUCACGAGGUGGUUCGGCGUGACGUGAACUCUAACCAUACCUCAGGAGAUACCCUACGCGCCUCUCGGACCGAGGUACAUAUGUAACCAGAUUCUGUGCCCCUCUAAUAGGCUGAUCCACAGAACUCGCCCAUUGGAGCAAGCUAAACCCACCAUACAAUAAAAUUUCAACAGCAUGACAUGGCAAUUUUAUCAUUAUCCAGUCAAUCAAGGCAAACAGCAGUUUAUACAUUUCAACACAAAUACCAAUUCAGCCAUUCAUGCCAAUAUUGUCAUAAGCCAAUCAAUUAGAACCAUAAAUUCACAAUACAUCAAAUGGUCUCCAAUUACUCUAUUUUCAAAGCCAUCAUUCAAUUUCAAGACAAUGUUAUAAAAUCAUUUCAUUAAAUCACAUUUUAGUUACAAAACACAAGAAUUUACCAUUUAACUCAUUUUCCAUAAAAUUCACAAAAAUUGAAUAAAAGAUCACUUUAGAUAAUUAAAAUGAUGAUAAGGUUACUCACUAUUUCGGAAGUCGAAGUUUUAGAGUACUCCGACUAUCGAUCCUGGGGUACAAUUUCCUUGCCUUUAUCGGAGGAUUUACCACCUAGACAUAAUGCACAAUAAAGCAAUUUACCACAUUGGUGCUAAAUCAUUAUAAAGCUAUAUGGAUGCAUGAAAUAUAAUGAAAAUUGUUUGGAUUAUCGUCUAAACACUGUGUUCUACACAAAUUUUAUUGUGUACCCUAAUAAUACAGUAUUGGCCUAAUUCGAUCUAUCACUCGAUUAAUUGGCCAACAUGUCCAAUUCAACUCCAAUUAAUUCCAUUUUUCUUCUAAUUCUCCAAACCAUCAAACACAAGUCAAUUAGCAUAAAAUUUAGCAAAAUCAUCUUCACAUUUUCUGUUAGGAAUUUCGACCAUAGUGAGUGCAUCAACACUAUGAUUUUUCCUACUCGAUUUUCUCACCAUAAUUCAUCAUUUCCUAACCAAUUCACUAGAAAUAAAAUCGAAAUCAUCAUCAAUAUUCCACAUGGAGAAUUAGGCCAAUGAUGGGUGAUGGGAGAAAAUGAAUUUUUCUUAUUGGUUUUUCAUGCUACACAUCACUAACUAACUAAAAACACUAAAAUAUCUUAAAAUCUAACCAAAUCAAGCAUCAAAACUCCUCCCCCCAUGUUCAGCCAGCAAGGGACCCAUCAUGAAACCAUGUGAUUCAACCAUGGAAAAUGCAAAAGAAUGUAUGGGAAAGGUAAAUCACAAGUCAAAAUCAAGAAAUUUUACCUUUAAUUGCUUGAUUACUUGAAAUCCGCAAAUUUUCUCUUAAAUUUUCACUCUAAGGUUUUUGUUCUUUCUUUUCUUCCUUUGUUCUUCCUUUGGCCAGC